AGGCAGUGAUGACUAAAUUAUUACCAUCAAACUAUAAAAGCUUAUGGAGCUUGUUGAUGCCAUCUAUUUUAUCUGAGCCU
This is a small nucleolar RNA of Vigna unguiculata (cowpea), 80 nucleotides long. RefSeq annotates it as small nucleolar RNA snoR116. Lineage: Eukaryota; Viridiplantae; Streptophyta; Magnoliopsida; Fabales; Fabaceae. The record is from RefSeq and is a predicted model, not a curated record.